GACGAACGCUGGCGGCUUGCUUAACACAUGCAAGUCGAACGGAAAUGCUCCUUUGGGGGUACUCGAGUGUCGAACGGUUGCGUAACACGUGAGUUACCUUCCCUUGACUUCGUGAUAACUUCAGGAAACUGGGGCUAAUACCGGAUCGGAAUCCUUGCUGCAUGGUGGGGGUUGGAAAGCUUCGGCGGUUUUGGAUGGAUUUGCGGCCUAUCAGCUUGUUGGUGGGGUAGUGGCUUACCAAGGCUUUGACGGGUAGCCAGCCUGAGAGCGCGACCUGCCACAUUGGGACUGAGAUAAGGACGAGACUCCGACGGGAGGCAGAAGGGGGGAAUAUUGCACAAUGAGCGGAAGGCUGAUGCAGCAACGAAGCGUACGGGAUAACGGCAUUAGGAUUGAAAACAGCAUUCAGCAGGGGAGAAGCUUGUAGUGACGGUACAUGCAGAAGAAGCAACGGCUAACUAAGUG
RNAcentral lists this ribosomal RNA (465 nucleotides) under uncultured bacterium. RNAcentral's name for it is "partial 16S ribosomal RNA". It matches the Rfam family "Bacterial small subunit ribosomal RNA", at positions 28 to 507 of the family's 1533-position model. The record is from RNAcentral.